This 448-nucleotide ribosomal RNA is filed under the name uncultured Pantoea sp. Its description in RNAcentral is "bacterial SSU rRNA". It matches the Rfam family "Bacterial small subunit ribosomal RNA", at positions 38 to 477 of the family's 1533-position model. Lineage: Bacteria; Pseudomonadati; Pseudomonadota; Gammaproteobacteria; Enterobacterales; Erwiniaceae. The record is from RNAcentral.
GGCGGCAGGCCUAACACAUGCAAGUCGAACGGUAGCACAGAGAGCUUGCUCUCGGGUGACGAGUGGCGGACGGGUGAGUAAUGUCUGGGAAACUGCCUGAUGGAGGGGGAUAACUACUGGAAACGGUAGCUAAUACCGCAUAACGUCGCAAGACCAAAGAGGGGGACCUUCGGGCCUCUUGCCAUCAGAUGUGCCCAGAUGGGAUUAGCUAGUAGGUGGGGUAACGGCUCACCUAGGCGACGAUCCCUAGCUGGUCUGAGAGGAUGACCAGCCACACUGGAACUGAGACACGGUCCAGACUCCUACGGGAGGCAGCAGUGGGGAAUAUUGCACAAUGGGCGCAAGCCUGAUGCAGCCAUGCCGCGUGUAUGAAGAAGGCCUUCGGGUUGUAAAGUACUUUCAGCGGGGAGGAAGGCGAUAAGGCUAAUAACCUUGUCGAUUGACGUUA